Molecule: long non-coding RNA, 150 nt
Organism: Scomber japonicus (chub mackerel)
Lineage: Eukaryota; Metazoa; Chordata; Actinopteri; Scombriformes; Scombridae
Exons: 3
Source: RefSeq, a predicted model, not a curated record
GUUCUUAUAUAUAUGCUUGUCUGUUUACGGUAAGAAGGAAGGAUGUUUGGACUGGGAGGGGUUGGCGGUGGGAUGGAAUAAGUGGUUGUUGUUAUUUUUGAAAAAGGAAAAAGUCCUUAUUUCUCAUUAUAUGUAUUUGUGCCUGUCAAA